ACCAUCCUUUCCUUGGGGUUGUGCUGCUGUCCAGUGGGCAUGCAGUGAGGGCAGUACUGCGGACCCCUAACCAACACACUCGCACCGACCAGAGCUCUGCUGUACCUUGGUGCAGUGUUUGCAAAA
Small nuclear RNA from Phyllostomus discolor (pale spear-nosed bat), 126 nucleotides. RefSeq annotates it as U4atac minor spliceosomal RNA. The transcript has a single exon. The record is from RefSeq and is a predicted model, not a curated record. NCBI's taxonomy places the organism in Eukaryota, Metazoa, Chordata, Mammalia, Chiroptera, Phyllostomidae.